CAAAUUGCUCCCUGUGCAUGAACUACACCAAAUGCAUAUUUGGAAUCAGCUCAUAUGUUUAUCCACUUGUCCUUUGCCAACUCCAAGGCUCUAGUCAGGGCUAUUAUUUCUGCCUUUUGUGCUGAGGUGUUAGAGGGUAAUGGUUUAGUUCUGUUAGCUUUGAAGUUGUAGUUAUGGCAUAUCCUGCUCUUCGUUUACCAUCUUUCACAAAGCUGCUGCCGUUGGUGAGCCAGGAAUCUGCACCCUCCAGAGGCUCCUCCUUCAGGUCUGGUCGACUCCAGUAUACUGUCUCAGAACACCAUAAUCAUGGAUCCAGAGUCAACACCAUCCUGUCAUUCCCAGAAAUGUCCAGAGAUCUUUAACUGUGGGUGGUCGUGGUGUCUGACAGAUUGCUUCCUUCCUAGCUGCUCCAGGUUCUUCUUGUCCUCCUGUUAUUUUGGAUCCUAAGUAAGAUACUUGAGUUCAAAUUAGUUGAGCCUUCAGUUUAGAUAGAUACCUGGUUUUCAUUUAGCCCUAGAAAGUUUAACCGUUCUACAGUCCAUUAAACACAUUCUUUCUCGGUUUUGGUAGCAAUUAACAGGUCAUCAACGUAUUGUAGUAAAGUGCCUGUCUGGGUGGGUGCUUCCCAGGAUUCUAAUUCUUGUGCCAAUUGAUUUCCGAAAAAGGUCAGACUAUUUUUAAAACAUCUCAAUAAGGAUUUCCAUGAAUUUGGAAUGUAUAAGAAUUUAUGCACACCAAUCUUUUUUCCCAAUUUAUAUUUUAAUGGUCUAAGAAAGAAUGUUUUUUUCCCAGCAGCCAGUAGCUCCCACAACUGUAACAAAUUCUUGUCCAAUCGGAUUUAAAUUUUAAUUCACUACUGAAUAAGUCACCUCUGUAUCUAUCAGGAAUUCUAUCUCUUUUUUUCCUUCCCCUAGCUUUAAUUUAACCAGUGGAUCCGCUAGGGUAGAUUCCCCAGGUCCCUGUCAAUCUAACUUUAGUUCAGUUACUGGUGUUUCCUAUUUCUGUUGAGGACAGUCUCGUUUCCAGUGUCCGAAUUCCUUGCAUUUUAGACACUGAUUAGGUUCUACCUUGUGAGAAAAAUUUGCUCUCUCCCCUUUAUUGAACAUUCCUCCUCUGCCUCUGCUAUUCCUCUUCUUCUGCCCUGUCCUCUGCUUCCCCCACAGGUCCCUGUGUGCCCUAAAGCAGCUACUGUAGCAGUUGCUAUCGUUCUUCGUAGCUUUUUCUCUUUUAUCUGUUCCUGACUUCUAUAAACUUUCCAUGCCUCAGCUCCUAAUUUUUCUGUAUUUCGACUGUCAGGUCCUGAUUAUUUCUGAAGCUUUCUUCUAAUAUCUUCUGUUGUCUGUCCUAGAAAUAAGUUAGCGAUUUGUAAUUUCCCUUUGGUAGAAGAACGGUCUAAGGUAGUAUAUUUUCGCAUUGCUUCUCUUAAUUUGUCUAGGAAUUCGGUAGGUGUUUCUUUUGGUCCUUGUUUUAUUUCAGAUAGAACUGACCAACUUAUGGCUUUUGGUAUCGCAUUUUCUAGCCCAAAUUUAAUCAGAUUCCGAUAUCUCUUUAAAGCAGCAUAAACUGCCGGAUCAUCAUAGUCCCAGUCUGGUAUAGUCAAAGGAACAUGUUCUUCCAUUCUUCCUGCUAAUAUACCAGUGAUUACUUGGGCAUUAACCUGAGCACAAGCUGUUUUUAUCACCAGUUGCUUUUUGGUUUCAGUUAAUGCAUCUAAUAUUAACUCUAUAUCUCUCCAAUCAGGAUUCUGACUUUUGACAAUCAAUUUGAAUUGUUUUGCUACUCCUAUUGGAUUGUUUUGAUAAUUUUUCACAAUCUGUUUCUAAGCAUCUAAGUCUCCCACUGAAAAAUUUACUCUUAUUCUGGUUUGUCCCUCUGGUCCCAUUGCUUUCCCUAGAGGUGCCUGUGUCGCAGGUCCUGUUUUACUACGGACAUGAGCAGCGAUUGAGGUACCUUUAAAAUCUUUUCUGCUAUUAUCAUUACUGUUCAUUCCUUCCUGUUCAUCAGAAUGAGGAGGACUUGCAGCAGGGGCUACAGGAUUUAUUGGACCUUGCGGAUUUUGUGUCGCAACCGUCAGGGAGACAUAAUCUAUCCUAUCUUCCUCGCUUUUUCUCAUUUUCAGACACAUUUCACCUAUGUCACAUCCUGAACAACAUCUUUCUAAUUUGGGUUUCAGCCUUUUUCUAUCCUUUUCUAAAGUUAGAAUCAGAGGAGCAGGUGGCGCUCUAUUUAUUUCACAUUCUUUCUGCCACUCUGUGUAACUUCUCAAUGUGAAAAACAUAUCUGCAUACAUCACUUCAUCCCAUUUUCCUUGCCACCUUAAAAAUAACAUUAAUUGCAACAACGUAUUAUAAUUCAAAGUCCCAUUUUUGGGCCAUUUUUCCUGAUCCUCUAGGGUAUACAAUGGCCACCAUUGGUUACAAUAUUUAAUUAAAGUCUUUUUAUUUACC
Long non-coding RNA from Pezoporus occidentalis (night parrot), 2447 nucleotides. RefSeq lists it as uncharacterized. The record is from RefSeq and is a predicted model, not a curated record. NCBI's taxonomy places the organism in Eukaryota, Metazoa, Chordata, Aves, Psittaciformes, Psittacidae. The transcript has 2 exons.